UUGGAGGUGGUGCUAGUUAUGAAGCCAGA
Molecule: non-coding RNA, 29 nt
Filed under: Homo sapiens (human)
Lineage: Eukaryota; Metazoa; Chordata; Mammalia; Primates; Hominidae
Source: RNAcentral